Molecule: ribosomal RNA, 253 nt
Filed under: uncultured bacterium
Lineage: Bacteria
Description: partial 16S ribosomal RNA
Rfam family: Bacterial small subunit ribosomal RNA
Source: RNAcentral
UACGAAGGGGGCUAGCGUUGUUCGGAAUUACUGGGCGUAAAGCGCGCGCAGGCGGUCCUUCAAGUCAGAGGUGAAAGUCCAGAGCUCAACUCUGGAACGGCCUUUGAAACUAGAGGACUUGGGUACGGGAGAGGUGAGUGGAAUUCCGAGUGUAGAGGUGAAAUUCGUAGAUAUUCGGAAGAACACCAGUGGCGAAGGCGGCUCACUGGCCCGUUACCGACGCUCAGGCGCGACAGCGUGGGGAGCAAACAGG